This 852-nucleotide ribosomal RNA is filed under the name uncultured bacterium. RNAcentral describes it as "bacterial SSU rRNA". It matches the Rfam family "Bacterial small subunit ribosomal RNA", at positions 547 to 1404 of the family's 1533-position model. The record is from RNAcentral.
GGAUUUAUUGGGUUUAAAGGGAGCGUAGGUGGCCGGUUAAGUCAGUUGUGAAAAGCAGGUGCUCAACAUCUGCCUUGCAGUUGAAACUGUCCGGCUUGAGCGUGUGAGAGGCAGGCGGAAUUCGUGGUGUAGCGGUGAAAUGCUUAGAUAUCACGAAGAACUCCGAUUGCGAAGGCAGCUUGCUGGCCCACGUCUGACACUAAUGCUCGAAAGUGCGGGUAUCGAACAGGAUUAGAUACCCUGGUAGUCCGCACAGUAAACGAUGAAUACUCGCUGUUUGCGAUAGAAUGUAAGCGGCCAAGCGAAAGCGUUAAGUAUUCCACCUGGGGAGUACGCCGGCAACGGUGAAACUCAAAGGAAUUGACGGGGGCCCGCACAAGCGGAGGAACAUGUGGUUUAAUUCGAUGAUACGCGAGGAACCUUACCCGGGCUUGAAUUGCAUACGACGUGCGCGGAGACGCGCAUUCCGCAAGGCGUAUGUGAAGGUGCUGCAUGGUUGUCGUCAGCUCGUGCCGUGAGGUGUCGGCUUAAGUGCCAUAACGAGCGCAACCCUCAUGGACAGUUGCCAUCAGGUUAUGCUGAGGACUCUGUCCAGACUGCCGUCGUAAGAUGCGAGGAAGGCGGGGAUGACGUCAAAUCAGCACGGCCCUUAUGUCCGGGGCUACACACGUGUUACAAUGGGGGGUACAGAGGGCUGCUGCGCGGCGACGCGCGGCCAAUCCCGAAAACCCUUCUCAGUCCGGACUGGAGUCUGCAACCCGACUCCACGAAGCUGGAUUCGCUAGUAAUCGCGCAUCAGCCAUGGCGCGGUGAAUACGUUCCCGGGCCUUGUACACACCGCCCGUCAAGCCA